ACGUAGGGUGCAAGCGUUAUUCGGAAUUAUUGGGCGUAAAGAGUGCGUAGGUGGUUUUGUAAGAGUGAUGUGAAAUCCCAGAGCUUAACUAUUGUACUCCUUUCGAACUGGAAGACUUGAGUGUAGGAGAGGAAAGUGGAAUUCCUAGUGUAGCGGUGAAAUGCGUAGAUAUUAGGAGGAACACCAGUGGCGAAGGCGACUUUCUGGAAUGUAACUGACACUGAGGCACGAAAGCGUGGGGAGCAAACAG
Molecule: ribosomal RNA, 250 nt
Filed under: uncultured prokaryote
Description: partial 16S rRNA
Rfam family: Bacterial small subunit ribosomal RNA
Source: RNAcentral